RNAcentral lists this ribosomal RNA (853 nucleotides) under uncultured bacterium. Its description in RNAcentral is "bacterial SSU rRNA". It matches the Rfam family "Bacterial small subunit ribosomal RNA", at positions 49 to 911 of the family's 1533-position model. The record is from RNAcentral.
UUACACAUGCAAGUCGAGCGGUAAGGCCCUUUCGGGGGUACACGAGCGGCGAACGGGUGCAGUAACACGUGGGUGACCUGCCCUUAGCUCUGGGAUAAGCCUGGGAAACUGGGUCUAAUACCGGAUAUGACUCCAUGACGCAUGUUGUGGGGUGGAAAGCCUUGUGCGGCUAGGGAUGGGCCCGCGGCCUAUCAGCUUGUUGGUGGGGUGAUGGCCUACCAAGGCGACGACGGGUAGCCGGCCUGAGAGGGCGACCGGCCACACUGGGACUGAGACACGGCCCAGACUCCUACGGGAGGCAGCAGUGGGGAAUCUUGCGCAAUGGGCGAAAGCCCGACGCAGCGACGCCGCGUGAGGGAUGACGGCCUUCGGGUUGUAAACCUCUUUCAGCCCUGACGAAGCGAAAGUGACGGUAGGGGCAGAAGAAGCACCGGCCAACUACGUGCCAGCAGCCGCGGUAAUACGUAGGGUGCAAGCGUUGUCCGGAAUUAUUGGGCGUAAAGAGCUCGUAGGCGGUCUGUCGCGUCGGCUGUGAAAACUCGGGGCUCAACUCCGAGCUUGCAGUCGAUACGGGCAGGCUAGAGUUCGGCAGGGGAGACUGGAAUUCCUGGUGUAGCGGUGAAAUGCGCAGAUAUCAGGAGGAACACCGGUGGCGAAGGCGGGUCUCUGGGCCGAUACUGACGCUGANGAGCGAAAGCGUGGGGAGCGAACAGGAUUAGAUACCCUGGUAGUCCACGCCGUAAACGUUGGGCGCUAGGUGUGGGAUCCCUUCCACGGGUUCCGUGCCGCAGCUUAACGCAUUAAGCGCCCCCGCCUGGGGNAGUACGGCCGCAAGGUUAAACUCAANGAAUUA